This 253-nucleotide ribosomal RNA is filed under the name Clostridioides difficile. Its description in RNAcentral is "partial 23S ribosomal RNA". It matches the Rfam family "Bacterial large subunit ribosomal RNA", at positions 543 to 795 of the family's 2925-position model. Lineage: Bacteria; Bacillati; Bacillota; Clostridia; Peptostreptococcales; Peptostreptococcaceae. The record is from RNAcentral.
AUAGAACCUGAAACCCUGCACUUACAAGCUGUGGAAGCACAUUUCUUGUGUGACCGCGUACUUUUUGUAGAACGGGCCAACGAGUUACGUUAAGUAGCAAGGUUAAGCACUUAAGGUGUGGAGCCGUAGCGAAAGCGAGUUUUAACUGAGCGUUCAGUUACUUGACGUAGACCCGAAACCGGGCGACCUACCCAUGAGCAGGAUGAAGCGAAAGUAAAAUGUCGUGGAGGUCCGAACCCACGAGCGUUGAAAA